UACGUAGGGUGCAGGCGUUAAUCGGAAUUACUGGGCGUAAAGCGUGCGCAGGCGGUCUGUUAAGAGAGAUGUGAAAUCCCCGGGCUUAACCUGGGAACUGCGUUUCUAACUGGCAGGCUUGAGUGUGGCAGAGGGGGGGUGGAAUUCCACGUGUAGCAGUGAAAUGCGUAGAGAUGUGGAGGAACACCGAUGGCGAAGGCAGCCCCCCUGGGCUAACACUGACGCUCAUGCACGAAAGCGUGGGGAGCAAACAGG
RNAcentral lists this ribosomal RNA (255 nucleotides) under uncultured bacterium. RNAcentral describes it as "partial 16S ribosomal RNA". It matches the Rfam family "Bacterial small subunit ribosomal RNA", at positions 524 to 776 of the family's 1533-position model. The record is from RNAcentral.